UCGCAUCUACCGAUUGGAUGGUCCGGUGAAGCCUCGGGACUGUGGUCAGGUUCCUUUAUUGUGACCUGAUCGUGAGAACUUGUCUAAACCAUAUCAUCUAGAGGAAGGUG
RNAcentral lists this ribosomal RNA (110 nucleotides) under uncultured eukaryote. RNAcentral's name for it is "partial small subunit ribosomal RNA". It matches the Rfam family "Eukaryotic small subunit ribosomal RNA", at positions 1676 to 1785 of the family's 1831-position model. The record is from RNAcentral.